This 1687-nucleotide long non-coding RNA is filed under the name Oryctolagus cuniculus (rabbit). Its description in RNAcentral is "lncRNA (ENSOCUG00000036922.1)". The record is from RNAcentral. Lineage: Eukaryota; Metazoa; Chordata; Mammalia; Lagomorpha; Leporidae.
AUGUGUGCAUUUAUUUGUGUUUUAUUCAAAAGGCAGAGACACAGAGAUCUUCCAUCCAGGGCUCCCUCCCAGUGGUUGCCACAGCCAGGGCUGAGCCUGACUGAAGAGAAGCUGGGCACGCAACCCCGGUGUCCACAUGAGGGCAGGGACCCACACCGAGCCCUCAGCGUCUGCUGCCCAGGUGCACAGCCCACACCUGAACUCGGGCUCUGGGACGCAGGCUGCGGGCAGCCAGGUAAUGUCUCGUGCUGCACCCAGCGCCCACCCCACGCCCUCUGUUCUCGUGUGGAACCUCUGGGUUUUCUCAGUCUCUCUUGCUUUCGGAAUGUUCACCCCGUCUGUCUCCCGGCUCUGGCGCCUUCUUACCCUUACCAAACCGGAUGCAGGCACUCUCCCCUCACCUGCCUUCCCGGUCCCUCCCUUCCAGCUCCGGGGUCGUUGCCUCCAACAUCUUUCUCUGGAGGUAAAAUCUCCAAGUGCGUGGCUCUUGCAUUGUCUGGGUGCUUCCUCCUGUCACUGACCUCAGCUGGCACGUGCGUCCUCUCCACCUGGAACAUUCUCACACGUUCCAGCCUGCUGCCCGAGAGCCACACUGCUCACCUCCACCCCCUAAGCCAGGGCUGGGGAACCUGUGUGCCAAGGGUCACUGGGAUAUCUGUAGCAUCAUUCCACACAAAAGUAACUUAAAAAUCAGCCUGCUACGAAUUUAUUGAAUCUUGAGCCCUGCUAACCUGGCCGGCUGCUCCUGACUCCCGUUCACGGAGCCUGAAGCCCGCACGGUACCCUGAAUGUCCCCUAGCAGCUCGUUCCUAAUCGUUGCUAACAGCCCCUGUGCUCAGGUCAGGGUGUAUCCCCUCUCCUCACUGCACCCCCACACCUGUCCCCGCGCCCCGAGAUCAGCGUCUCCCCGAUGACAGGCUUUCUCCUCCACAACCCCUGGGCAAUGUGCAGUUUUCCUUAACACUUCUAUCGUGACGCCAUCUGAAGGGUCAGGAAUUCGACGUCAUUCCCUGUCCGUGACUAGCAGGUCCCCACACACUGCACUCUGGGUAGGAGGUGCUCACAGUGCGCUGGGGCUGCCCGCGGGAACACUGCCCGCUAACAGCGUCCAGAGCCGCCGGGCACACCUGCUGGGCGUCGCUCCGCUGGGGAGGGUCACACGUGUGCGGGGGGCCGGCCGUGUUGCUGCCUCCAGUGACCCGGGAGAGGACCACGUGGUUUUCGCUAUGGGGGCAAAUCUGCUUAGUUUUAGGGGCCCGAGUUUCUGCUUCGUCUCUGUCCCGUGGUUGAGCAAGUCCGACGGGGGCUGCUGCAUUAGGUCCUUAGCACGUUCUCUGGCUACCGUGGCGGGCGUCUUCCUCCCGGUUCCGAGGCCCAGGACGGGCCCUGUCCGUGCGUCUGAGCCACUGGGACUUGCACGCGGUUUUCAGGCGGGCCACCCUGCCGGGCCGCACCAGGUGAGUCUCUGGGGUUGUCUUCACCUCAGGAGCCCCGUCCUGGGGUGCAGGCUCCGUAACGACGCCUUCCGGGGAGCACUCGCGCGUUCCUGGCGUCGGGCGGUCACUCCACCGUGGCCUUCGGCACAGCGCCCAGCGAGAACCCUACAGGGCUCCCGCCCACGCCCACGGAGCCCAGCUCCUCGGUACCGACGGCAGGGAGCGUUCCUCCCACGCGGGGCCCGUCUCUG